CACGUAGGGCGCAAGCGUUGUCCGGAAUUAUUGGGCGUAAAGAGCUCGUAGGUGGUUUGUUACGUCUGCUGUGAAAACCUAGGGCUUAACCCUGGGCUUGCAGUGGAUACGGGCAGACUAGAGGUAGGUAGGGGAGACUGGAAUUCCUGGUGUAGCGGUGGAAAUGCGCAGAUAUCAGGAGGAACACCGGUGGCGAAGGCGGGUCUCUGGGCCGAUACUGACGCUGAGGAGCGAAAGCGUGGGGAGCGAACAGG
Molecule: ribosomal RNA, 254 nt
Filed under: uncultured bacterium
Lineage: Bacteria
Description: partial 16S ribosomal RNA
Rfam family: Bacterial small subunit ribosomal RNA
Source: RNAcentral